UACGAAGGGUGCAAGCGUUGUUCGGAAUUACUGGGCGUAAAGGGUUUGUAGGCUGAUAGAUAAGUCAAGUGUGAAAUCCCCGAGCUAAACUUGGGACGUGCAUUUGAAACUGUGUAUCUUGAGUAUCGUAGAGGGUGGUGGAAUUGUAGGUGUAGGAGUGACAUCCGUAGAGAUCUGCAGGAACAUCAGAGGCGAAAGCGACCACCUGGCCGAUGACUGACGCUGAGGAACGAAAGCGUGGGGAGCAAACAGG
This 253-nucleotide ribosomal RNA is filed under the name uncultured bacterium. Its description in RNAcentral is "partial 16S ribosomal RNA". It matches the Rfam family "Bacterial small subunit ribosomal RNA", at positions 524 to 776 of the family's 1533-position model. The record is from RNAcentral.